GCUCAAUUAGCUCAGGAGGUAGAGCGCGUGCCUUUCAAGCCCGUGGUCGUGGGUUCGAGCCCCGCCCGAGAUGUA
This 75-nucleotide transfer RNA is filed under the name Perkinsus olseni. Its description in RNAcentral is "tRNA-Glu". The stretch from base 8 to 65 matches the Rfam family "tRNA", at positions 8 to 63 of the family's 71-position model. Rfam says of the family: Transfer RNA (tRNA) molecules are approximately 80 nucleotides in length. The record is from RNAcentral. Lineage: Eukaryota; Perkinsozoa; Perkinsida; Perkinsidae.